This is a long non-coding RNA of Humulus lupulus (European hop), 1367 nucleotides long. RefSeq lists it as uncharacterized. The transcript has 4 exons. The record is from RefSeq and is a predicted model, not a curated record. NCBI's taxonomy places the organism in Eukaryota, Viridiplantae, Streptophyta, Magnoliopsida, Rosales, Cannabaceae.
GAGCAACCAGUCGCCGACCCUCUUGUGCUUUGAAAAGAACCCGAUGCCGUGGGUGGAGAGACUUUCGCAGCUUGUCUGGAGUAGCAUUGAUAUCAUUGGAGGGAAAGAAGUAUCGCCGCUGUCACCGAGCUUGUUUGCUUCGUCGGCCUCAGACCUGAAGUCCUCAGAGGUGCUAUAAUUUUGAGCUUACUUUGCCGUUCUCGAGAAUCUGGGUUAAAUCAAAGAUUCUUUUGGAGACAUGAAUGCUCAAGCUUUGUAUGAUGGCCCUGAAGUUGUAGGUGCAAGGGUUAAUAAGAGGAGAAAGAAGUUAGCAAACAAGGAUAAGGGGACCCUUGGAGAGUCUUCUUCUGCUUGUCUAGGCUAGAGUCGGCCUCACGCUGGGGUUACACCGCCAACUCCUACAACGACUACUAGUGUGGUCCCUACAACCAGGUCCUUGUCUUCCACACUACCAUCUUGUGUUCGAAUGGUGGUGCCCAGAGUUGAGGAGCUUAUUCAGAGUGACUAGGUUCAGGCAGAUUGGUCAUUUUUCUGGAUUUUUCAUCCCCGACGAGGGCCAACAAUGUCCAUACAAUGAUCAUUUUGAUCAAUCUCUCUAAGUCUAUCAAGUAGUUGAAGAAGGAUAAGGAAGAUGCAUGUCGUACCCUUAUGGACGAGGUAGAAACUGUUAGUGGCGAGAGGAACAGUUGUAGGAUUGAGCUUGAAAAACUCAAAAGCUCGUCUUGUUCUGAGAUCAAUCAACUAAAGCCUAAGAUUAACCAGCUCCAAAAGUCUCAUGCAGUUGAGGUUGAGCAACUUAAAGCUGAUGUGGAAAUUGAUCACCUUCAAAUCCUUGAAGAAUACGGAGAUAUCUUAAAUAACAAGUUCUUUCAGGUCUGGAAAUACAACCGCAGUAUUGAUUUAACAUUUUUGAAUGGCAGAGAGAAGUCCCUACUAAAGGCUUGGGAAUAGAGACUUGUUGAUGAGGAAAAUGCUUCUGUUCGCACCUCCUUAGCACAGUCAGGGGAUGGUGAUGUUGCAAGGACUGAAAAUCUUGUUACCAGCCCUUCUGUCGACCCUUUAGCUACCUCAGACAACCAGACCCUUGAGCUCGAGUCCUGAUAGCUUGGUCUCUAGUGCAUCUCAUGUUUGAGUAUUUUGUAUUAGCACACUCUUGACUCUUGAUAUUCUGUUGUAGUCUGUACUUGUAUUAAAACGAACAAACCAUUUUGUCGUUUGUUCAUAAUGGGAACAUACUAGUUUACCUUUUGUUCUUAGUGCGAACAAACUAGUUUUCCUUUUGUGCAUGAUGCGAAUAGAGGUUACAUGUACCAACAAACAAACUAGUUUGCCUUCUGUAAAUGGCGCGAACAACUUGUGUGUUUUUA